Molecule: ribosomal RNA, 491 nt
Filed under: uncultured bacterium
Lineage: Bacteria
Description: partial 16S ribosomal RNA
Rfam family: Bacterial small subunit ribosomal RNA
Source: RNAcentral
GAUGAACGCUGGCUACAGGCUUAACACAUGCAAGUCGAGGGGAAACGACGGGGAAGCUUGCUUCCCCGGGCGUCGACCGGCGCACGGGUGAGUAACGCGUAUCCAACCUGCCUCUGACUGAGGGAUAACCCGUCGAAAGUCGGCCUAAUACCUCAUGGCAUCGUCUGCGGGCAUCCAACGACGAUUAAAGAUUUCAUCGGUCAGGGAUGGGGAUGCGUCUGAUUAGCUUGUUGGCGGGGUAACGGCCCACCAAGGCGACGAUCAGUAGGGGUUCUGAGAGGAAGGUCCCCCACAUUGGAACUGAGACACGGUCCAAACUCCUACGGGAGGCAGCAGUGAGGAAUAUUGGUCAAUGGGCGGGAGCCUGAACCAGCCAAGUAGCGUGCAGGAUGACGGCCCUAUGGGUUGUAAACUGCUUUUAUGCGGGGAUAAAGUGAGGGACGUGUCCUUCAUUGCAGGUACCGCAUGAAUAAGGACCGGCUAAUUCCGUG